GCGGGCGGUGGCACGUAUCUGUAGUCCCACCUACUUGGGAGGCUGAGGCUGGAGGAUCGCUUGAGCCCAGGAGGUCUGGGCUGUAGUGCGCUAUGCUGAUCGGGUGUCUGCACUAAGUUCAGCAUCAAUAUGGUGACGUCCUGGGAGCGGGGUGCCACCAGGUUGCCCAAGGAGGGGUGAACCAGCCCAAGCUGGAAACGAAGCAGGUCAAAACUCCCUUGCUGAUCAGUAGUGGGAUUGCGCCUGUGAAAAGCCACUGCACUCCGGCCUGGUCAACAUAGCAAGACCCCGUCUAU
Molecule: signal recognition particle RNA, 296 nt
Filed under: Cebus imitator (Panamanian white-faced capuchin)
Lineage: Eukaryota; Metazoa; Chordata; Mammalia; Primates; Cebidae
Description: Metazoan signal recognition particle RNA (ENSCCAG00000006357.1)
Rfam family: Metazoan signal recognition particle RNA
About the family: The signal recognition particle (SRP) is a universally conserved ribonucleoprotein. It is involved in the co-translational targeting of proteins to membranes. The eukaryotic SRP consists of a 300-nucleotide 7S RNA and six proteins: SRPs 72, 68, 54, 19, 14, and 9.
Source: RNAcentral